CAGUCGCCGCGGUAAUACGUAGGUGGCAAGCGUUGUCCGGAAUUAUUGGGCGUAAAGCGCGCGCAGGUGGUUUAAUAAGUCUGAUGUGAAAGCCCCCGGCUCAACCGGGGAGGGUCAUUGGAAACUGGGAAACUUGAGUGCAGAAGAGGAGAGUGGAAUUCCACGUGUAGCGGUGAAAUGCGUAGAGAUGUGGAGGAACACCAGUGGCGAAGGCGACUCUCUGGUCUGUAACUGACGCUGUGGAGCGAAAGCGUGGGGAGCGAACGGGAUUAGAUACCCCGGUAGUCCCUGUCUCUUAUAC
This 301-nucleotide ribosomal RNA is filed under the name uncultured bacterium. Its description in RNAcentral is "partial 16S ribosomal RNA". It matches the Rfam family "Bacterial small subunit ribosomal RNA", at positions 509 to 807 of the family's 1533-position model. The record is from RNAcentral.